UACGUAGGGUGCAAGCGUUGUUCGGAAUCAUUGGGCGUAAAGAGCGUGUAGGUGGCUUAUCAAGUCGAUUGUGAAGGCCCUCGGCUCAACCGGGGAAGUGCAGUCGAAACUGGUAGGCUCGAGAACGGUAGAGGAAGGUGGAAUUCCUAGUGUAGAGGUGAAAUUCGUAGAUAUUAGGAGGAAUACCUGUGGCGAAGGCGGCCUUCUGGGCCGUUUCUGACACUGAGACGCGAAAGCGUGGGUAGCAAACAGG
This 253-nucleotide ribosomal RNA is filed under the name uncultured bacterium. Its description in RNAcentral is "partial 16S ribosomal RNA". It matches the Rfam family "Bacterial small subunit ribosomal RNA", at positions 524 to 776 of the family's 1533-position model. The record is from RNAcentral.